AGAGUUUGAUCUGGCUCAGGACGAACGCUGGCGGCGUGCUUAACACAUGCAAGUUGUACGGUAUGUCAUGGAAGCUUGCUGAAGUGACAUAUAGUAGCGAACGGGUGAGUAAUGCAUGAGAAUUUAUCCUUAGGAGGGGGACAACAGCUGGAAACGGCUGCUAAUACCCCGUAUGCCGGAAGGUGAAAGGUGCGAGAGUGCCGCCUGGGGUUGAGCUCAUGUCCUAUCAGCUAGUUGGUGGGGUAACGGCCUACCAAGGCGACGACGGGUAGCCGGCCUGAGAGGGUGAACGGCCACACUGGAACUGAGGCACGGUCCAGACUCCUACGGGAGGCAGCAGUGGGGAAUUUUGGGCAAUGGGGGAAACCCUGACCCAGCGACGCCGCGUGAGGGAAGACAGCCUUCGGGUUUUAAACCUCUUUUGUACGGGAAGAUAAUGACGGUACUGUACGAAUAAGUCCCGGCUAACUACGUGCCAGCAGCCGCGGUAAUACGUAGGGGACGAGCGUUGUCCGGAAUUACUGGGCGUAAAGGGCGCGCAGGCUGCGUUACAAGUCAGCUGUUAAAUGCAUGGGCUUACCCCAUGAGUGCGGUUGAAACUGUAGUGCUAGAGUACUGUAGAGGCAAGCGGAAUUCCCAGUGUAGCGGUGAAAUGCGUAGAUAUUUGGAAGAAUACCAAUGGCGAAGGCAAGUUUCUGGCAGAUAACUGACGCUGAGGUGCGAAGGUGCGGGGAGCAAACAGGAUUAGAUACCCUGGUAGUCCGCACAGUAAACGAUGUACACUAGGUGUUUGACCAUGAGGUUGAGUGCCAUAGCUAACGCAAUAAGUGUACCGCCUGGGAAGUAUGCCCGCAAGGGUGAAACUCAAAGGAAUUGACGGGGGCCCGCACAAGCGGUGGAGCAUGUGGUUUAAUUCGAUGGUACGCGAGGAACCUUACCUGGGUUUGACAUAUACUGGAAUGUUAUAGAGAUAUAGCAGCGUAGCAAUACGCCGGUAUACAGGUGCUGCAUGGCUGUCGUCAGCUCGUGCCGUGAGGUGUUGGGUUAAGUCCCGCAACGAGCGCAACCCCUACUGUCAGUUGCUAACAGAUAAUGCUGAGGACUCUGGCGGAACUGCCGGUGACAAACCGGAGGAAGGUGGGGAGGACGUCAAGUCAUCAUGGCCCUUAUGUCCAGGGCUACACACGUGCUACAAUGGUAGAAACAACGGGCCGCGAAUCCGCGAGGAGGAGCCAAUCCCCAAAUCCUAUCUCAGUUCAGAUUGCAGGCUGAAACUCGCCUGCAUGAAGCAGGAAUUGCUAGUAAUGGCAGGUCAGCAUACUGCCGUGAAUACGUUCCCGGGCCUUGCACACACCGCCCGUCA
This 1363-nucleotide ribosomal RNA is filed under the name uncultured bacterium. RNAcentral's name for it is "bacterial SSU rRNA". It matches the Rfam family "Bacterial small subunit ribosomal RNA". The record is from RNAcentral.